This 468-nucleotide ribosomal RNA is filed under the name uncultured bacterium. RNAcentral's name for it is "partial 16S ribosomal RNA". It matches the Rfam family "Bacterial small subunit ribosomal RNA", at positions 28 to 507 of the family's 1533-position model. The record is from RNAcentral.
GACGAACGCUGGCGGCGUGCUUAACACAUGCAAGUCGAACGGAAAGGCCCUGCGUUUGUUGUGUGCUCGAUUGGCGAACGGGGGAGUGACACGCGAGUAACCUGCCCUUGAGUUUGGGAUAACUUCAGGAAACUCGGGCUAAUACCCGGUAUGAGCUCCUGCUGCAUGGUGGGGGUUGGAAAGUUUCGGCGGUUGGGGAUGGACUCGCGGCUUAUCAGCUUGUUGGUUGGGUAGGGGCGUACCCAGGCUUUGACGGGUAGCCGGCCUGGGAGGGUGGCCGGCACCGUUGGGACUGGACUACGGCCCAGCCUCCUACGGUAGGCAGCAGAGGAGAAUAUUGCACAAUGGGCGGAAGCCUGAUGCAGCAACGCCGCGUGCGGGAUGGCGGCCUUCUGGUUGUAAACCGCUUUCGCCUGUGACGAAGCGUGAGUGACGGUAAUGGGUAAAGAAGCACCGGCUAACUACGUG